RNAcentral lists this transfer RNA (73 nucleotides) under Phycisphaerales bacterium. RNAcentral describes it as "tRNA-Ala". It matches the Rfam family "tRNA". From Rfam's summary of the family: Transfer RNA (tRNA) molecules are approximately 80 nucleotides in length. Their secondary structure includes four short double-helical elements and three loops (D, anti-codon, and T loops). Lineage: Bacteria; Pseudomonadati; Planctomycetota; Phycisphaerae; Phycisphaerales. The record is from RNAcentral.
GGGGCGGUAGCUCAGUUGGUAGAGCACUUGCUUUGCAAGCAAGGGGUCGCCGGUUCGAAUCCGGUCCGCUCCA